GCUUAGAAGCAGCCACUCAUUAAAAGAGUGCGUAAUAGCUCACUGGUCGAGUGACCCUGCGCCGAAAAUUUAACGGGGCUAAAUCGUACACCGAAGCUUGGGAUGCAGUAAUGCAUGGUAGGAGAGCGUCGUAUAAGGGGUGAAGUCAGAGCGUAAGCGUUGGUGGACUUUAUACGAGUGAGAAUGCCGGAAUGAGUAGCGAGAAAUAUGUGAGAAUCAUAUUGGCCGAAAGUCUAAGGUUUUUGGAGGAAGGUUCGUCCGCUCCAAGUAAGCCGGGAGCUAAGGUGAGGCCGAAAGGCGUAGCUGAUGCACAUACGGUAGAUAUUCCGUAGCCGCCAAAAGAUUUAAGUAAGAGGACACCUUGAAAGGACUUGACCCGGGCGAUGGUUGCCCCGGGCGAAAGGGACCGAAAUUUAGUAGGGAAGCAAGUUUGGACGAGGGCGAGAAAAGUCUUAUGUAUAUCUUCGGCGCCCGUACCGCAAACCGACACAGGUAGAUAGGAAGAGAAUUCUAAGGCCAACGGGAGAAGGGUAGUUAAGGAACUCGGCAAAUUGACCCCGUAACUUAGGAAUAAGGGGUGCCACAGCGAUGUGGUCGCAGAGAAUAGGCCCAGGCAACUGUUUAUCAAAAACACAGGUCUCUGCCAAAUCGAAAGAUGAAGUAUAGGGGCUGACACCUGCCCGGUGCUGGAAGGUUAAGAGGAGAUGUGCAAGCAUUGAAUUGAAGCCCCAGUAAACGGCGGCCGUAACUAUAACGGUCCUAAGGUAGCGAAAUUCCUUGUCGGGUAAGUUCCGACCCGCACGAAUGGUGUAACGAUCUGGGCACUGUCUCAAUUACCCGCCCGGCGAAAUUGUAGUACCGGUGAAGAUGCCGGUUACCCGCGACAAGACGGAAAGACCCCAUGGAGCUUUACUGUAGCUUAAUAUUGGGUUUCGAUAAUUUAUGUAUAGGAUAGGCGGGAGACUAGGAAACCGUGGCGCCAGCCACGGCGGAGUCGACGUUGGAAUACCGCUCUUAAGUUAUUGGAAUUCUAACCUGCGGCCAUGAAUCUGGCCGGGGGACAUUGUUAGGUGGGCAGUUUGACUGGGGCGGUCGCCUCCAAAAAGGUAACGGAGGCGCUCAAAGGUUGGCUCAGCAUGGUUGGAAACCAUGCCUUAGAGUGUAAACGCGUAAGCCAGCCUAACUGCGAGGAUGACGGUCCGAGCAGUAACGAAAGUUGGAGUUAGUGAUCCGGCGGUAUGAGAGUGGAAUUGCCGUCGCUCAACGGAUAAAAGCUACCCUGGGGAUAACAGGCUGAUCUCCCCCA
Molecule: ribosomal RNA, 1306 nt
Filed under: human gut metagenome
Description: bacterial LSU rRNA
Rfam family: Bacterial large subunit ribosomal RNA
Source: RNAcentral